Long non-coding RNA from Micropterus dolomieu (smallmouth bass), 567 nucleotides. RefSeq lists it as uncharacterized. The transcript has 5 exons. Lineage: Eukaryota; Metazoa; Chordata; Actinopteri; Centrarchiformes; Centrarchidae. The record is from RefSeq and is a predicted model, not a curated record.
GAGCGCUUGCAGUGGGAAUUGGCAGUUCUCUCGGAGGACACGGACACGCAUACAACUCAUUUACAAGUGGCGCCACUCUGAUGUGGGGACUGCCUGCUUCUCACCCUUUCCUGCCGGCAGAGUAAAAAGAGCCACAACACAAAACGUGCCAUAUGGGACAUCCUUGCUCACAUGUUCCAUGAUGAUGUCAGGAAGAGGAUAAAUAGGACAGGGAUCACUGAGAAAGAAAUCUCUAUGCCAGAUGGCAUCGGAGACGUUGCUCCUGUGCUCCCGUAGGCUCCCGUAGGCUCCUGUAGACUCCGGUCAGCUGAUCAGUGGAACCUCUGAGCAGCAGGGUGUCAUGGUGAUUAAGGAGACCGCCCUUCAAGUGGAGAAUGCUGUGCUCAGGCCCCCGUGUUGGCAAGCAUCUGUGAGCCUCCGCCCGCUCAAGGGAGGUCUGCUCUCUUUGCCACCUGGGGAGGAUUUCCAUCACGGUCUCACAAACUUUGGAGAGAUGAGUGUAUACUCUGAAAUGUACAUUGUGUGAUCUGUAGUGUUUUGGGACACACUGCAUGUAUGGAAAAUCCA